Long non-coding RNA from Zingiber officinale, 434 nucleotides. RefSeq lists it as uncharacterized. The record is from RefSeq and is a predicted model, not a curated record. Lineage: Eukaryota; Viridiplantae; Streptophyta; Magnoliopsida; Zingiberales; Zingiberaceae. The transcript has 2 exons.
GCCUCCCUCUCUGACCUUGACGCAGCGGAGGCGCUUACAGCUUCCCCACUGCAAGGGGAAAUCGCGCUCCGGAGGAGCUCUCUGCUCCUUCGAUUCCUUCUCCAUCCGAACAGGCAACCAAUCUAUCAGCCUCAAGCCCAAGGGCGAAGCAAGAUAAAGAUGGUCGCUUCUGACCAGAUUCACGCUCGCACACCAGAAGGAACCGGGAAAUCGCCAAGGGAAAGCGGAAUCGAAGGGGAAGAAGGCUUCCGAAGAAGGUCGAUGGGGAAGGCUGCAGCCUGCAGCUGUUGGUCUUUGCUCGGCUUCCCUCGUGUUCUGUGUACUCGCACGCAGACACCUGCAAGUAUUAAUCAAGGUGUGGAGGUGCAAUUUGGACCGUAGGAUUUCGUAUGGAGGACUGGAUUUAUAUGGAAAAUGCUUUCUUUUGAGCUGUC